GUUGAGUGUAAGUGCACAAGGGAGCUUGACUGUGAGACCGACGGGUCGAGCAGGGACGAAAGUCGGGACUAGUGAUCCGGCGGUGGCUUGUGGAAGCGCCGUCGCUCAACGGAUAAAAGGUACCCCGGGGAUAACAGGCUGAUCUUCCCCAAGAGUCCAUAUCGACGGGAUGGUUUGGCACCUCGAUGUCGGCUCGUCGCAUCCUGGGGCUGGAGUCGGUCCCAAGGGUUGGGCUGUUCGCCCAUUAAAGCGGUACGCGAGCUGGGUUUAGAACGUCGUGAGACAGUUCGGUCCCUAUCCGCUGUGCGCGUAGGAGUCUUGAGAAGGGCUGUCCCUAGUACGAGAGGACCGGGACGGACGAACCUCUGGUGUGCCAGUUGUUCUGCCAAGGGCAUGGCUGGUUGGCUACGUUCGGGAGGGAUAACCGCUGAAAGCAUCUAAGCGGGAAGCCUGCUUCGAGAUGAGGACUCCCACCCACUUGAUGGGGUAAGGCUCCCAGUAGACGACUGGGUUGAUAGGCCGGAUAUGGAAGCACGGUAACGUGUGGAGUUGACCGGUACUAAUAGGCCGAGGGCUUGUCCUC
This 583-nucleotide non-coding RNA is filed under the name Streptomyces gancidicus BKS 13-15. RNAcentral's name for it is "Bacterial large subunit ribosomal RNA". It matches the Rfam family "Bacterial large subunit ribosomal RNA", at positions 2344 to 2925 of the family's 2925-position model. The record is from Rfam by way of RNAcentral. Lineage: Bacteria; Bacillati; Actinomycetota; Actinomycetes; Kitasatosporales; Streptomycetaceae.